GAGGAUAUAGCUCAGUGGUAGAGUUUGUGCUUAGCAUGCAUGAGGUCCUGGGUUCAGUCCCCAGUACCUCU
RNAcentral lists this transfer RNA (71 nucleotides) under Camelus bactrianus (Bactrian camel). It matches the Rfam family "tRNA". From Rfam's summary of the family: Transfer RNA (tRNA) molecules are approximately 80 nucleotides in length. Their secondary structure includes four short double-helical elements and three loops (D, anti-codon, and T loops). The record is from Rfam by way of RNAcentral. RNAcentral also lists the same sequence under 2 other names. Lineage: Eukaryota; Metazoa; Chordata; Mammalia; Artiodactyla; Camelidae.